Ictalurus punctatus (channel catfish) is the source of this 921-nucleotide long non-coding RNA. The record is from Ensembl. Lineage: Eukaryota; Metazoa; Chordata; Actinopteri; Siluriformes; Ictaluridae.
AUGUGUGUGUGUGUAUGUGUGUGUGUGUGUGUGUGUGUGAGAAAGAGAGAGUGUUACAGAAAACCAGAGAAAUGUGUGGAAACAAUUUAUAGGAGUUAUAUGCAGUUAUAGCAGUUAUAUACAGUUAUAGGAGUUAUAUACAGUUACAGCAGUUAUAUACAGUUAUAUAUGUUACAUAUAGUUAUAGGAGUUAUAUCAGUUACAUACAGUUAUAUACAGUUAUAGCAGUUACAUACAGUUAUACAGUUAUAGCAGUUACAUACAGUUACAUACAGUUAUAGCAGUUAUAUACCUUUAUAGCAGUUAUAGCAGUUACAUACAGUUAUAGCAGUUACAUAGAGUUAUAGCAGUUACAUACAGUUACACACAGUUAUAGCAGUUAUAUACCUUUAUAGCAGUUAUAGCAGUUACAUACAGUUGCAUACAGUUAUAUAAGUUACAUACCUUACAUACAGUUAUAUACAGUUAUAGCAGUUACAUACAGUUACAUAGUUAUAUACAGUUAUAGCAGUUACAUACAGUUAAAACAGUUACAUACAGUUAUAUACAGUUAUAAUAGUUACAUAGUUAUAUACAUUACAUACAGUUAUAGCAGUUAUAUACAGUUAUAUACAGUUAUAGCAGUUACAUACAGUUAAUGUAGUAUAUACAGUAUUAAUGUAAAACUUUCCUAAAGAGCUCCACACCCCUUUCUGAUAAGCUGCAUCAUAUACACAACAAACUGACACCCAACAGAAAUAAAGCAGGACGUGAACCGGUUUCUGUGUCUUACCAUUAUAUUUACAACACAAGAACCUUGGACAAAAAUAAAAAUAAAUACAUAUUAAAUAUAAAUAUAAUGUAAAUUAAAAUGGAAUGAUUUUGUAUAGCAGUGAUUUAUUGUAAAGUUUACAAUAUUCAGAAUGUCAACAAACACCAUGG